CUAUGCGCCUUGCCAGCCCGCUCAGUCAGAGUUUGAUCCUGGCUCAGAUUGAACGCUGGCGGCAGGCUUAACACAUGCAAGUCGAACGGUAACAUGAGUGCUUGCACUUGAUGACGAGUGGCGGACGGGUGAGUAAGGUAUGGGGAUCUGCCGAAUGGAGAGGGACAACAGUUGGAAACGACUGCUAAUACCUCAUAAAGUUGAGAGACCAAAGCGUGGGACCUUCGGGCCACGUGCCAUUUGAUGAACCCCAUAUGGGAUUAGCUAGUUGGUGGGGUAAUAGCUCACCAAGGCGACGAUCUCUAGCUGGUCUGAGAGGAUGACCAGCCACACUGGAACUGAGACACGGUCCAG
This 354-nucleotide ribosomal RNA is filed under the name uncultured bacterium. RNAcentral's name for it is "bacterial SSU rRNA". It matches the Rfam family "Bacterial small subunit ribosomal RNA", at positions 1 to 334 of the family's 1533-position model. The record is from RNAcentral.